This 66-nucleotide transfer RNA is filed under the name Tegyrius keralaensis. RNAcentral's name for it is "tRNA-Asp". The record is from RNAcentral. Lineage: Eukaryota; Metazoa; Arthropoda; Insecta; Coleoptera; Chrysomelidae.
AAAAAUUUAGUUAAAUUUAUAUAACAUUAACUUGUCAAGUUAAAAUUAUUUUAAAAAUAAUUUUUA